Molecule: non-coding RNA, 47 nt
Organism: Picea glauca (white spruce)
Lineage: Eukaryota; Viridiplantae; Streptophyta; Pinopsida; Pinales; Pinaceae
Source: Rfam
AAAAAGGCCCUUUUCAGGGCCACCAUAUAUUAUUCAUACGUUCGCGG